CUUGCCCUUGCGUGCAUUAACUUCAUGGUGGGCUCUUUCUGCUGUCCUAAUGGUCGGCGCCGUCCGGGUCGGCCUCCUCGGUCGCGGGCCAUUCCAUUGCCGGCGGGAGAAGCACGUAGAGGCGACGACACGGUGGGGCUUUGUACAGCGGCCACGGGCCGGCCCGCCAGUUACCGUUGAGCUGUGCAAGGAUCGGAAGCCGCCAGGGACGUCAAGGCCAGGCCACUGGGCGCGCACUCGAUGGAGGCGCAGAAGGGACCAGGGACCGUUGGUGGCGCGGCGGCGAAGGGGGGCUUCACCGAGCCGCCGCUAGGUCCUGUCUUAAUGGUCCGCGGCGUCCCGGUCGGCCUCCUCUGCUGCGCGGAGCCGUGGUCGGUCGUCGUUCUACUGCUCCGCUCGAUCGGUAUCUCGACUCAGCCUGCGGUUAUGAUGGAUAGUUCCAUGUCUGAUGCUCAGUUACUGCGAUGGGGUGGCCACUCUGCUCGGUCCCUCGGCUCUGGGUGCAUGGCGGAUCCUUCGGUUCUUCAGUCUCGUGGUGACCAUGUAAGAUCUGAUCAGUGCUGUUUUUUUUCCAUGUUUAUUAUGGAGGAUAAGCUGGUGUUGUUCCAUAUGCUAAGCGCUCUGUUGGUUUGGUUGCCUAGCUGGCCUUCUUCUUUGGCGUCCGAUUCUGCGGCUGAUGGUUCCUCCACGCGGCGGAGGGAAGAGAUCCGGUUGGGAAAGCGCCCGGUCGAUUCAAUUAUUGGUUAGUGCAUUGAUUUUGUGGGGUUUUUUUCAUUGGUUAUUGCUGGAUAUUGCUUUGAUGAUGGUGCUUUUUCUCUCUGCAGGUGCUUCUUUUGUGAAUCCAAUCGGUGUGUGGACUGGACUGCUCCUUCCCGUCAUCUUUCCGUCUCGGCUCUGGUAUUUUCUUGCUUCUUUCUGUUCGUUUUUCUUUCCGCUGGAUGUGACAUCUGGUUGCAUGCAUGCUUUGCUUACUGUUGGUUGUCUAGGUAGAUGCGGAUUGGGACAAGCGGUAGGUCUAGCUGUUGGUAGACGGGGCCAGGUUGGCGUCUAGCAGGGCGAUUGGUCGUGGUCAAACUGAACACUGUUUGUGUACUGUAUUUUAAUAUUGUGUCUCUAACUGCUAAGGGCAUCUUAGGUUGUACGUGUGUGUUUGCCUGCAUGGCCAUGCACGCGAUCGACGUGGUCGCAUCUGCCGUCUGUUUUUUGCUAGGGGCACCCGAAGCUGUACACGCAUGCUUGGGUGCAUGGGUCAUGCGCUUGGCCGACGUGGUUAUGUCUGCGUUCUGUUCUGAUGCUAGGGUUAUCCCAGAUUGUACACCCAUACUUGGGUGCAUGGGCCAUGUACAUGGCCGACGUGCCAGGCCAGUGUCAUGGUGUGUUGCUAGGAGUACCCCGGGUAGUACGUGUAUUCUUGGGUGCAUGGCCAUGCCCGUGGCUGGGUUGGUCGUGUUGUGCGUGUUCUCUUACUCUCGUGUGUUUGGUCGUCUAUUUUGUUUUGGUUUUUUCCUUCCUAUGUGCCUGUUUGGCUCAUCGGUUGUACUAUUUGCAGGAGGCUUGGUUUUGCCUGCUUACGAUACGAGGCUCUUGGUGCGCCGGGCGUUUUUCAUGUGUGUGAUGUUCGUUCCGUUGGUACUCGACCUGUCUUUGCGCGGCCAUGGGUUGUUCCACUGCGAACCAUGGGGUCUCUUUGUCGCCCAGUUGCGUUAGGUCAGUAUGUUAUUCUUUGCUUUCAGUUUGUUCUAUAUGAACUGGUUUGCGCUUUUUAAAAAUUGUUUUAAAUUUUUUUGUAUUCAUUUUAAGUGCCGCCGACAUCAAUUAUGGAACCCCGGGAUAUUAUUCGUGCUCGAUGCAAGAGGAGGUUGAUACGGUCGUAUAAGUCUGGAAGAAAGAGAGGUUUGUGGGCACGUUUGUGUUUGUUUUUCGUGUGGUCGAUCGUUGUCGGCCUUCCUUUUUUCUUUCUUUAGUUGGUUUUCACUGGUGUUCAUUGCUGUUGUUUACAUGGUGCACUACGUGGGGUUGAGCUUCCUCUUUCAAAAGAUGUUGCUCUAGUCAAGAGUAUGGAUUUGUGUGCUUAUUUCUUUGAAUUUUUUAGAAGUUACGUGGUGUUUUCAGCUUUUUUUAUUGUGGUGUUUUUGUGACGCAGCUGUUUGUAGAGGGUGUUCGUAUUACGGCGGUCCGGACCUUAUGUGUGAGUGGUGCGGUGCAUUUUAUUGGUUUCAUGAGGGUUCGGUUCACCAUGCAGGGACAACUGCUCGACGGCCCGUUUAUACUNNN
This 2274-nucleotide long non-coding RNA is filed under the name Triticum aestivum (bread wheat). RNAcentral describes it as "long non-coding RNA (TAES_LNC019016)". The record is from RNAcentral. Lineage: Eukaryota; Viridiplantae; Streptophyta; Magnoliopsida; Poales; Poaceae.